GGAAGUAAGAGUCGUAACAUGGUUUCCGUAGGUGAACCUGCGGAAGGAUCAUUAUUGUAUAACCGAGGUGCGAGGGCUGUCGCUGACCCGAAAGGUCGUGCACGCCCGAGUGCCCUCACACACAUCCAUCUCACCCCUAUGUGCACCACCGCGUGGGUCCCCCUUUGGCUUGUUCGGAGGGGGGCUUACGUUUUCACACAAACUUUGUAUGCAGUGUAGAAUGUAUUUUUUGUUUUUGCGAUCACGCAAUCAAUACAACUUUCAACAACGGAUCCCUUGGCUCUC
Molecule: unclassified non-coding RNA, 285 nt
Filed under: plant metagenome
Description: partial contains small subunit ribosomal RNA and internal transcribed spacer 1
Rfam family: Eukaryotic small subunit ribosomal RNA (bases 1-54)
Source: RNAcentral